GACGAACGCUGGCGGCGUGGAUUAGGCAUGCAAGUCGAACGGUAUCAUCCUUUCGGGGGUGAGAGAGUGGCGAACUGGUGAGUAACACGUAGGUUAUCUACCCUCAAGACGGGGACAACCCAGGGAAACUUGGGCUAAUACCGGAUGUGAGCAACUUUUAGUUGUUUGAAAGGUGGCGUAAGCUGUCGCUUGGGGAUGAGCCUGCGUCCUAUUAGUUAGUUGGUGAGGUAACGGCUCACCUAGGCAAUGAUAGGUAGGCGGCCUUAACGGGUGGUCGCCCACACUGGGAUUGAGAUACGGCCCAGACUCCUACGGGAGGCAGCAGUCGAGAAUAGUCUACAAUGGUCGGAAGACUGAUAGUGCGACGCCGCGUGAACGAUGAAUCCCUUCGGGGUGUAAAGUUCUUUUAUAUGUGAGCAGUGCUUCUUAUAUUAACAGUAUGGGGAAGAGAGAUAUUAGCAUAUGAAUAAGCAACGGCUAACUCCGUGCCAGCAGCCGCGGUAAAACGU
This 509-nucleotide ribosomal RNA is filed under the name uncultured bacterium. Its description in RNAcentral is "bacterial SSU rRNA". It matches the Rfam family "Bacterial small subunit ribosomal RNA", at positions 28 to 528 of the family's 1533-position model. The record is from RNAcentral.